Long non-coding RNA from Cryptomeria japonica (Japanese cedar), 918 nucleotides. RefSeq lists it as uncharacterized. The transcript has 2 exons. The record is from RefSeq and is a predicted model, not a curated record. NCBI's taxonomy places the organism in Eukaryota, Viridiplantae, Streptophyta, Pinopsida, Cupressales, Cupressaceae.
CCCACCGCUCCACUUUUCAUAGCAAAAACACACGAUUCUCUGUGUUAUGAGUCUUUUGCAGUUGUCUUGUUAGGCUUUCAUGAUUUUUUUUGCACAAAAUAUCCUUCGAAUUUUUAUAAAACGUGUUUCUGCUCUGCGCUGAGAGUCACAGGCUGUUUGAAGGGAGUUACUCUGCCUUUUCAAGUGUUUGAUAGGUCUUGUGUGCAUUUUAAGAGUGUUUCGAAGAAGUGUUUAUACCUAUUGUCAACGUUUUGUGUUGAUUUUCCAUGUUGUGCAGGAAAUGUCGGGUGCUUCAAGCGGUCGCGCUGGUUAUGGAGUGUACGUCGAACAGCUCGUUUUUGAUGUAGAUGUCGUUCUCCACAACCGAAUUGAUGAAAGCAUUGAAAACAUAUUUAUUUACAAAGUGUCCAUUCAAUUCAUCCCACUACAUGGUGGAAUUUUAGCGUCCACUUUGGUACAUUUUUGUCGUUUUGGUAUUCUCUAAAUGAUUUCGUACAACACUUACGUUGCAGAAAAAUGUUAAGCUUAUAGAAGUUCUUCUCAAUGGAAUUGUGAUAAUGUUUUAAACUUCUUUGUGUGGGGUAUUUUAGUUCUCAGAUCUUUGGCUAGAGGAAAAGUUAGGUUUUAUGUAUGUAGUGGAUAAUUUAACAAAUGGGUUCAUCUGAUCCUCGCACACUCUCUUUUCAUGGUCUUUCUUAAGACUGCAGAAAUCAGGAAAUGGCAGAUGCUGAAAGCGGUGAAGCUUGUUAUGGAGCGUCAUGUUUGUUCAAAGCAUUAAAUCAUUACUUUUUGUUUUAUAUGCCAUGGCCGAUUCAGGGUUAAAUGUAUUUUAGGUUUUUUUUGCAAGGUGCACGGCUCCCUGAUAUUUGUAAGUCUUCCGAUUUAUAUAGUUUUAUAUAAUAAAAUAUGUUUUCUAUA